RNAcentral lists this unclassified non-coding RNA (1012 nucleotides) under Hevea brasiliensis (rubber tree). The record is from RNAcentral. Lineage: Eukaryota; Viridiplantae; Streptophyta; Magnoliopsida; Malpighiales; Euphorbiaceae.
GCUUUUGAGGUGAAAUUUUGAGCCCUUACAUUCUGGAAUCGGAUUUUGUUGCAUGGUUAGAUGUAUUUCAAGCUCUGCAAAUAGUAUUUUUUUAUGCCAUUUGUCCAUGUAGUAAUUUAUAAUGUGGACUGUUAGUUGUUCCUCUCCUCAGCUAAUAUCCAGUAGUCGAUCUUGGAUUUUAAUUUUAUAAUUGUCAGUGAUAUAGUCACUGAGUUUAAUAGGAUUGCAUUUGUAAAGCAAAAUCAAAUCCAUGUUAUUGAAGUCUGUUUGUAUGAUUACCAUAUUGAUUUAGUUGCAUGGUGUAUUAAAUAUUCAUACUGCACUUACUAAGAAUUUAGGAUUAUUUUAUUGCCUAAUGGCACAAGUUUUGCCUUUGCCAAUGCCUUUCCUGAGUUAUUAUGUAGGUCUAAUGCUAUAUGACGCCAUUUGUAUCAUGUCUAUUUUUAUUUUGUUACCUUGAGCCAGGCCAAUACAAUUUUAAUUCUUACUUCAUUGUUACAUUGUUGGUACUUUACCUAACCAUGUAAUGGGAAAAUGACCAAUAGUUUAGUGUAAGAUGUGGUCCUUCAAGAUUGAAUAGAAUAUGCUUUGGGCUCCAAGUAGUGUUCUGAGUGGAGUUGACGUGAGAUACAAUAUACCAUAGUUCGCUUGAAGAGUAUAGACCUCUGGAGGUGGAUUUUAGGUCAUCAUAAAUAGCAAAAUCUUAUCCUUGACAUCACAUGUGGGUUAACAUUUUUAGUCCCUUGUCGUUACUUUAUGUUUUAUUGGGGGUAAGGGUGGAAAAAGUAGCUUACAAUAUUCUCAAGUGUAAUUUAAACUUUUUCGAGCCAGAGUGAAAGACCCAUCCACAUCUCUUAGGGAGCCGCUAAAGUGGAUGUGUCUUGUUGAGUUGCUGUAGACCAUUUUCCUUUCUGACCCAGUUAAAGUGGUGUAGGUGGACAUGCUUCUUUAGAGAUUGGUUGUGCCACUGAAGGCAUGCAAAUACAAAAUAGAUAAAUAAAUAAAUAAAGGG